GACGCAAAAUUUAGCGCUGGCGUCCAUAUGCGCCAAUCCAGCCGGUCAAGGGGGAUGAAAAGGGAACUCGGUUUGAACCCGAGGCUGCUCCCGCAACUGUAACCGGCGAGCCAAGGCGCCACACUGCCACUGGGAACACCCGGGAAGGCGGCGCCAAGGCAGCGACCCGGGAGCCAGGAGACCUGCCCGCCACAGUCGAUUCCU
This 204-nucleotide non-coding RNA is filed under the name Sphingomonas hengshuiensis. The record is from RNAcentral. Lineage: Bacteria; Pseudomonadati; Pseudomonadota; Alphaproteobacteria; Sphingomonadales; Sphingomonadaceae.